AACUCGUCCAGGCGGUCUUGUGU
This 23-nucleotide non-coding RNA is filed under the name Arabidopsis thaliana (thale cress). The record is from RNAcentral. Lineage: Eukaryota; Viridiplantae; Streptophyta; Magnoliopsida; Brassicales; Brassicaceae.